RNAcentral lists this ribosomal RNA (517 nucleotides) under uncultured bacterium. RNAcentral's name for it is "partial 16S ribosomal RNA". It matches the Rfam family "Bacterial small subunit ribosomal RNA", at positions 28 to 523 of the family's 1533-position model. The record is from RNAcentral.
GACGAACGCUGGCGGCGUGCCUAAUACAUGCAAGUCGAGCGGACGUUUUCGAAGCUUGCUUCAAAAACGUUAGCGGCGGACGGGUGAGUAACACGUGGGCAACCUGCCUUAUCGACUGGGAUAACUCCGGGAAACCGGGGCUAAUACCGGAUAACAUCUAGCACAUCCUGGUGCCAGAUUAAAAGAGGGCCUUCGGGCUCUCACGGUGAGAUGGGCCCGCGGCGCAUUAGCUAGUUGGAGAGGUAAUGGCUCCCCAAGGCGACGAUGCGUAGCCGACCUGAGAGGGUGAUCGGCCACACUGGGACUGAGACACGGCCCAGACUCCUACGGGAGGCAGCAGUAGGGAAUCUUCCGCAAUGGACGAAAGUCUGACGGAGCAACGCCGCGUGAGUGAUGAAGGGUUUCGGCUCGUAAAGCUCUGUUAUGAGGGAAGAACACGUACCGUUCGAAUAGGGCGGUACCUUGACGGUACCUCAUCAGAAAGCCACGGCUAACUACGUGCCAGCCGCCGCAGUAA